RNAcentral lists this ribosomal RNA (915 nucleotides) under Triticum aestivum (bread wheat). RNAcentral's name for it is "partial small subunit ribosomal RNA". The record is from RNAcentral. Lineage: Eukaryota; Viridiplantae; Streptophyta; Magnoliopsida; Poales; Poaceae.
AUGGGGCUUCGCAGCAACCCCCAAAAAUCGUCAGCGGCAGCCCUUAACUGCGGUAGUAUCGACCUCAUAGACGUCCUUCAAAACUUCGGCGGCACUAGAGUAGGCUUCCCGAUCAGGUACCUCGGUCUCCCGCUCUGCAUCGGCAGGCUUUGGCUUGUGCACAUCCAAUACCUCAUCGACCGCAUCCGUGCACGGCUCGCGGCUUGGAAAGGCCGUCUCCUGCCGACCGCGGGUCGCCGCGUGCUGGUCCGGUGCGUCCUAUCCGCGCUGCCCGCCUUCGCCAUGGCAGUCCUGCGCAUCCCGAAAAGAUUCUACAAGGACGUCGACAAGGCUCGUCGGCGGUUCCUGUGGGCGCACGAUGAAGAGGUCACCGACGGCAAAUGCAAGGUGAACUGGCGGCUGGUCACGUCCCCAGUCGACCACGGCGGCCUCGGCAUCCCCAACAUGGAGCGGUUCGCGCGCGCGCUGCGCCUCCGAUGGCUAUGGCUGGCAUGGACGGACCCGGCCAGACCAUGGGCAGGCAUGGGGACGCCUUGUGACACCAAGGACAGAGAGCUCUUCGCCUCGACGACGACGGUGACGGUGGGUAGCGGCAGCAGAGCCCUCUUCUGGCACUGCACAUGGCUCGGCGACCAGCCGUUACGACAAGUCUACCCAGACCUGUUCAGGCGCUCAAUCAGAAAGAACCGCACGGUGGCGGACGCAUUACGCGAGGACAAAUGGAUCAUGGACCUCAGGCGCGGCAACAGCUUGGAGAUCGUCCCCCAGGCCGUUCAGUUGCAACGCCGCAUCAGAAAUGCAAAUCCAGUGCUGCGAAAAGGAAUCGAAGACAAGAUCGCAUGGAAAGCCGGAGGCCAAUACACAACGAGGUCAGCGUACAACUCCCAAUUCCCUUUGCAACCAGCAUCGACAUGA